ACUGACCCAGGACAACGAGCCAGAGUAUGAGCCAGACGGACUCCCAGAGGUGGUCAGAAAAGGCUUUGCUGAUAUUCCUACUGGGAAAACCAACCCCUGUGUUUUGCGCAGAACAGCGCUAAACCUAAAGACCAGUGCCCGUCUUGCUGCUCAAAGCCAAAAUUUGUCACCAUAUGGCCAACGUUUACAAAAAGGCAGGUCAGCUAAUUUUGCCAAGAUCUCUAAACCGACAGCUGGUGGCAGCAAAUCACCAAAGGUAGAUGAUACUCAACAGUGCCAAGCAGAAACAGCUAUUGAACCCAUGGAAUCUAGUUCAAGAUCUCCUCUUUUCAUAAAUAAUCAACUCACAAAAGCUGUUGCUGAGAACUCUGUGUGUGUUGAGAUUCUCCCCAAAGGCAGAUGUUCCUUGAGCACACAAACUACCUGGUCAAAAUGAACAAGACAAACCCACCUUUGGACUUGUGUGGAGAAAGCGCUACCUCAGUGACAGUUCCAAGGAGGACCCUUUGACUCAACCGUUGAUGGAGACGUUGGAAUCCGACCCCAAAACCCUUGUUAGGCACCCCGAUGAGUGUGACGGCCUCUCAUUGUUCACCUCCUUAGAGGUGGAAAGCGAUCAUGGCGUACCAAGAGUGGAUUUCUUCAAUAUGAUAUAUUAUUUGCUUCCUUAUCACACACCAGAUCAUUGGGUUCUUGCGACAGCAUUGAUGCAAACAAAAGAAUUAUUAACAAUUGACCCCUUGUGUGAUGAGAUGAGAUAUGAAAGAACAUGUCUAAGGAAUUGGAGUUUCAGAUACUUCAUCAAACGAUUAACGAGCAACUCCCCAUCUGAUUGGAAGAAUAAAAUUCUUCAGCAUAAUAAACAAAAAGUGAUGGCCACAACUGCGGACCACUUAUCUUAAAGUUUGCAGAAACGUAUUUGCGGCAGAAAGACAGCCUCUUGUGAUGUUUCUACUGAAUUGAUAAUGCUGAGUUUAGAAGACAAGUAGCAAUUGUUCUAGUGAAAGAGUCAGAAAGCGUGGAGGACUACUGCAUAUACUGCAACCUUGUCAGUUGUGAAAAGGAAAGUGAGGAUUGCACGAUGGUCCAGUGUGAUUCUUGCAAGAGGUGGGUACAUAUGCCCUGCAUUCCAGAAGGAACAAAUCAUGAAAUCCUCACUGAUGAGGAAGAAGAAUACGAGUGCAAAAAAGUGCAUAGUUCAGUUCUUUAUCAGAAAAAUGACAUUAUCUGUAAAUAGUUGUUGUUAAAAAUGGCUUUGAACAAAAAGCUAACCUUUUAUUUAUAUACCGGAUUACAAUAAAGUUUUUAAAAUUGGAAAAACA
Long non-coding RNA from Mauremys reevesii (Reeves's turtle), 1322 nucleotides. RefSeq lists it as uncharacterized. The record is from RefSeq and is a predicted model, not a curated record. The transcript has 10 exons. Lineage: Eukaryota; Metazoa; Chordata; Testudines; Geoemydidae.